CUGGUUAGCAGAGGUGAGGGUGGCAGGGCCUGAGAGUGGCUACCAGAUUCAGGAACUAAUGCAAAGUGAGACCAGGACCCAGGGACCCAGGGAGGAACUCGUUCCAGAAAAUAUCUUUCUGCUGGCUGCUUUUGGAAAAAAAUGAGUAGGCCACUCAGCUGUGUUUUGGGGAUAACAUCCUUUCUUUAAGACUCCCCAUUCCCGGUUAAACCACUCAUGGUAUUUAACAAAUACCUCCCAGGGACCACUUACAUUAGAGUCUCUGAAGAUGGGCAGCCCAGCAACUGCCCAGGUGAUACUAGAGAAGUCAGAAUUAAGCACUGCUUGGUCAUCUCCCCCAUCAUCCAUCCUCCAUGAGACUUCCAGAUGAAUCUUUCAGGGCCUAUGCUCUGGAAUCUUCUGUGGCUCUCCUUUUACUUCUGAGGUGAAGAGGUUCCUUGUCCUGCUGUUCAAGACACGGUGGGGCAUCCUUGCCCAGCCCGCCUGUGCUCUGGCAUUCUCCUGCAAUGUCUUUGGAUGUGAUGGGUCAGCCUGGCUGACUCCAGCUGUGCAAAGGCCCUGGGAGGGAUGGAUGGGUCCAGGGAACCAUAUGCCACGAAAUUAUGCCAUGCCUUCCAUGAAUUAUCUGAGUUGCAUUGCAUGUUUUGAAGACCAUCAGUUUGCCCUACAAAAAUGCUACUUGGAAUCUCCCGGCUGGGCACCUGUGAGAUGCUGACCUUCACUGCUUCAUGGCAACUGUUCUUCACUUGUUGCUUCACACCUGUGAGGAAGAUUAAUUGCACAUUCAAAACA
Bubalus bubalis (water buffalo) is the source of this 792-nucleotide long non-coding RNA. RefSeq lists it as uncharacterized. NCBI's taxonomy places the organism in Eukaryota, Metazoa, Chordata, Mammalia, Artiodactyla, Bovidae. The record is from RefSeq and is a predicted model, not a curated record. The transcript has 2 exons.